CAGGUAGUUGUUAUGGAGUCAUGAAAGAGCCGAUUGUCUUAUGUGCUCGUCAGGUAGGAAGGAGAUGACCAUCGUGCUGAUUCGGGGAAAAGACUGAAAAGAAGCUCUCUCGAAUGAAGACCGUGCUCCCUUCUUUAUAGGGAGGAGAUCUUCUGCCCACGGCUAAAUAGAGAAGAGAAAGGGGUCUUUGGUUCUCCCCUAAGGCACGCCCAGAGGCAGUUAGCUUCUUUAUAUUGAGUAGCCUCUUAUCUGGCAGUAUGUAUUGAAGAAGUCGUUCCCCAUCAGUGUAAUCAGAAUCCCAUAUCAGUCAUCAAAGAUGAAGAAUGAAGUUAGCUACUGAUCAGAUAUGGAAUAUGGAUGAUAGCAUCCUUGUGAGUACAUUCUCUUAUAGAUCAGACAAAAUAAUUGAUUCACAUUAAAUCAGACAGAGUAAUUGAAGUCGCAUUCAGAUAUUUUUCGGUGAGAAAUCACAAAAUUUAGAAAUAAUAGAAUGAAUAAUGAUAGGGUUUAAACAGGGCUCGAUUCUAUUUUGGUAAUCCUUCUAAGAUGAAUUCUUAAUAUUCUCACUCCACCCUAGAACUUCGACUCUAAGGUCUUUUAACCAACUAAUUAAACCACCCAAAUUGUGUUUCCAAAAUUUUCC
This 643-nucleotide long non-coding RNA is filed under the name Vigna radiata. RNAcentral's name for it is "long non-coding RNA (VRAD_LNC011777)". The record is from RNAcentral. Lineage: Eukaryota; Viridiplantae; Streptophyta; Magnoliopsida; Fabales; Fabaceae.